This 529-nucleotide ribosomal RNA is filed under the name uncultured bacterium. Its description in RNAcentral is "bacterial SSU rRNA". It matches the Rfam family "Bacterial small subunit ribosomal RNA", at positions 395 to 917 of the family's 1533-position model. The record is from RNAcentral.
UGCCGCGUGUGUGAAGAAGGCCUUCGGGUUGUAAAGCACUUUUGUCCGGAAAGAAAUUGCUCUGGCUAAUACCUGGGGUAGAUGACGGUACCGGAAGAAUAAGCACCGGCUAACUACGUGCCAGCAGCCGCGGUAAUACGUAGGGUGCGAGCGUUAAUCGGAAUUACUGGGCGUAAAGCGUGCGCAGGCGGUUUUGUAAGACAGGCGUGAAAUCCCCGGGCUCAACCUGGGAAUUGCGCUUGUGACUGCAAGGCUAGAGUGCGUCAGAGGGGGGUAGAAUUCCACGUGUAGCAGUGAAAUGCGUAGAGAUGUGGAGGAAUACCGAUGGCGAAGGCAGCCCCCUGGGACGUGACUGACGCUCAUGCACGAAAGCGUGGGGAGCAAACAGGAUUAGAUACCCUGGUAGUCCACGCCCUAAACGAUGUCAACUAGUUGUUGGGGAUUCAUUUUCUCAGUAACGUAGCUAACGCGUGAAGUUGACCGCCUGGGGAGUACGGUCGCAAGAUUAAAACUCAAAUGAAUUGACGGA